CCUGAAGAGCCGCAGUGAAUAGGCCCAGGCGACUGUUUAGCAAAAACACAGGUCUCUGCGAAGCCGCAAGGCGAAGUAUAGGGGCUGACGCCUGCCCGGUGCUGGAAGGUUAAGAGGAGGGGUUAGCUCACGCGAAGCUCUGAAUCGAAGCCCCAGUAAACGGCGGCCGUAACUAUAACGGUCCUAAGGUAGCGAAAUUCCUUGUCGGGUAAGUUCCGACCCGCACGAAAGGCGUAACGAUCUGGGCACUGUCUCAAC
This 258-nucleotide ribosomal RNA is filed under the name Bacillus sp. MM2020_4. RNAcentral describes it as "partial 23S ribosomal RNA". It matches the Rfam family "Bacterial large subunit ribosomal RNA", at positions 1768 to 2025 of the family's 2925-position model. Lineage: Bacteria; Bacillati; Bacillota; Bacilli; Caryophanales; Bacillaceae. RNAcentral also lists the same sequence under 1 other name. The record is from RNAcentral.